This is a long non-coding RNA of Orbicella faveolata, 1579 nucleotides long. NCBI's taxonomy places the organism in Eukaryota, Metazoa, Cnidaria, Anthozoa, Scleractinia, Merulinidae. The record is from RefSeq and is a predicted model, not a curated record.
AUCCAGAUUUACCUACAUCAACGUAAAUGACGGUAUCAUGUCCAGUCUUGCAUCGGUGACUUGUAUAGUGACUCAAAAUACGACAGUGCGCUGCUGUUAAACAUGAACAGAUUCCCAUUAACCUUUUUUGUUCCUAACUUUAACUACUUUACACAUACUGUUUUGGUUCUACAACUAAAGCGGGACAUACCAAGCAUAGAGAACUUUCAUUAAUUACUAAAUAAUAUCUUCUCUCGAAAACUUCAGAUCGUUAGACGGUCAGAUGGAAAGGCCAAAAUGAAAUACAAAAAGUGGUCCACAUCUCCAAUUUGGCUCCCGGAGGACUCAGAGGGCAUCGACCUCCUAAAAAGUCUCCCAAGAGGAGCCCCAAAGGUAUGAAGGCUUAAUAUCAUGAAGCACCGCUACAUAACAUUUACUAAGAACAGCACAAUGUCCAAACCGUGGCAAAUGGAUUCACCUUUUUCGUGUCUGACUUAUUGUUCAUUGUAGGUAUAAUUAGGCCCACAGUCGUAUUGAGUUAUUGUGAAAUGAAGAACAAAGAAAAUACUGAAAGCAUUGUCAUCGUGCCUCCUGAAUUAUGUUCUUUCCCCCUUUUUCUUGAUAACAGCUUCUUGAAAGAAACAGCGAGAUUAAACUUAGAAAAUAUCAAGAACGAUCUACCGAAGUUUAGGCUCCACUUCGACUAAGACACGAGAGUAUGGUGGAAAAACUUCCUGAAACGCAAAGGAAUGACCGGAAAAGUAAAUCCAAAAUGGAUUUUACCACUUUUGGAAAAGCAGAUAGAGACCACGAACAGACCAUUGCAAGUCAGCGACACCACCGAUGAACUCUUUCGACUAAUUGAAAGAGAAGAAAGGGAUGUAGAGGUAAUUUUCUUUUCACUAGUUCAAUUUAGCAUGCUCAGUUUAGCAUGACAGCCUGCAAAGUGCUAGGAUGUAAAACCAAAACGUGAUUGAAAAACAUGAUGAAUAUAUAAUCAUCCAUUAAUUUGAGUCCAUAGGCUCGAUUUUCGUCGUUCUCUCGCGUCCGGUCUUUUGUUCGAGGGAGGAGCGCGCCUCGUUUCCCGAACAGCGGCUGGAAAUCGAACUUUCAUGCAAAGUCCACUGAAUUGUCUUAAAAUUUAUACCGAUUUUUUCAUACGUACGCGGCUCUUCACUCGAAGCUUCAAAUAAGAGGGGCUAGGCUUUCUCUGCAGAAAUAAGAUAAGUGAACUACAACCGUGGUCGCACAUGCUUUAAAAACACUUCGUAUGUCAACGAAGUUUGAAACAAAAAACCUUUCACCUUACACACGGGGGCAUUUUCACAUUCAUAACAACAUUGGUGUAGAUUAGUAGAUGAAAAAAAUCUUUAAUUACUUAUCGAUCGUCCAUGAAUUGUAGACAUUAUACGAGGCCAAUAAAUGAAAAAAAAUGUCUUAAACGUAUACUCAUACACUAAUUAAUGUACCUUAAUUUCAUGUUAGGUGCGUGCUGGAUGAAAGAGAAAGAAAAGCGGAAAUGGUCAAGGGAAAACGGGGCCCAAAAGGACCAAAAAAUGAGUGUCAGACGUAUCAGGAAGGAGUGCAAGUCCUCAUUGUC